Molecule: ribosomal RNA, 223 nt
Filed under: uncultured bacterium
Lineage: Bacteria
Description: partial 16S ribosomal RNA
Rfam family: Bacterial small subunit ribosomal RNA
Source: RNAcentral
UACGUAGGCAGCAAGCGUUGUUCGGAAUUACUGGGCGUAAAGCGAGUGUAGGCGGUUUGCCAAGUCCGUUGUGAAAUCUCCCGGCUCAACUGGGGGGGUGCGCCGGAAACUGGCAGGCUAGGGUGCGGUAGGGGAGAGUGGAAUUCCUGGUGUAGCGGUGAAAUGCGUAGAUAUCAGGAGGAACACCGGUGGCGAAGGCGGCUCUCUGGGCCGUUACUGACGC